UACGAAGGGAGCUAGCGUUGUUCGGAAUCACUGGGCGUAAAGCGCGCGUAGGCGGCUAUACAAGUCAGGGGUGAAAUGCCAAGGCUUAACCUUGGAACUGCCUUUGAAACUGUAUAGCUCGAGUAUUGGAGGGGAUAGCGGAAUUGCUAAUGUAGAGGUGAAAUUCGUAGAUAUUAGCAGGAACACCGGUGGCGAAGGCGGCUAUCUGGACAAUUACUGACGCUGAGGCGCGAAAGCGUGGGGAUCAAACAGG
Molecule: ribosomal RNA, 253 nt
Filed under: uncultured bacterium
Lineage: Bacteria
Description: partial 16S ribosomal RNA
Rfam family: Bacterial small subunit ribosomal RNA
Source: RNAcentral